UGGUGGAGUGGUUUGUCUGGUCAAUUCCGAUAACGAACGAGACCUUAACCUGCUAAAUAGGUUAAUUGAUUGGUUCUCCAAUCUUUGAUAACUUCUUAGAGGGACUACCGUGGUUUACACGGGGGAAGUUUGAGGCAAUAACA
RNAcentral lists this ribosomal RNA (143 nucleotides) under uncultured eukaryote. Its description in RNAcentral is "partial 18S ribosomal RNA". It matches the Rfam family "Eukaryotic small subunit ribosomal RNA", at positions 1299 to 1458 of the family's 1831-position model. The record is from RNAcentral.